AGAACGAACGCUGGCGGCAGGCCUAACACAUGCAAGUCGAACGCCGUAGCAAUACGGAGUGGCAGACGGGUGAGUAACGCGUGGGAACCUUCCCUAUGGUUCGGAAUAGCUCAGGGAAACCUGGGGUAAUACCGGAUAAGCCCUUCGGGGAAAGAUUUAUCGCCAUUGGAUGGGCCCGCGUAGGAUUAGCUAGUUGGUGAGGUAACGGCUCACCAAGGCGACGAUCCUUAGCUGGUCUGAGAGGAUGAUCAGCCACACUGGGACUGAGACACGGCCCAGACUCCUACGGGAGGCAGCAGUGGGGAAUAUUGGACAAUGGGCGAAAGCCUGAUCCAGCCAUGCCGCGUGAGUGACGAAGGCCUUAAGGGUUGUAAAGCUCUUUUGGCGGGAAGAGUAAUGACGGUACCCGCAGAAUAAGCUCCGGCUAACGUUCGUGCCAGCAGCCGC
This 447-nucleotide ribosomal RNA is filed under the name uncultured soil bacterium. Its description in RNAcentral is "bacterial SSU rRNA". It matches the Rfam family "Bacterial small subunit ribosomal RNA", at positions 26 to 518 of the family's 1533-position model. The record is from RNAcentral.